AGGGAAUUCUCUGUGUUAUUCACUGAUUAAAGCCUUCGAGUUCACUUUUAUUUAACUCACAAGUCCUACACUUAAAGGAUAGAUCUACAAGGGGAGAGACCACCGAGUUUUCUCCUAUAUCUUCUGCUCAUUCUUCAAAAUUCGUAGUAGCUGAAUCAACACAUCCCUGUAUGCUGAUUUCUUUUUUCUUGGUGCUGAGAGGAGAAUUAAUGGGCUCCAAAGGGAGCUGCCUCUAGUGCUCUGAUUUGAAUUCUUCAAUGUUAUGAGGACAAACAGACUUUGAAAGAAGAAAUGAUUCAACGUAUCAGAUACAGUAAUGAAGACAAUAAGAAAUUGGAUUGAUCCAGGUCUGGAGUUUUGCCACAGAGUGAAAUGGAACAACAAUAUGCAGGAGAAGUGAGGAUACUGAAUUCUACUUGAAAAUUAUACAGAAACAAUUUCUUAGAAUGCUCACAAAAGACCUGAAAACAUGGGGAGGAAGCAGGGCAUUUACAGGUCUUCUCUGACACUGUGCUGGUGGGCAGGGAGCCACCUCAUUACUACCAGGCACAGCUUAUAACUCAUGCAAAACAACAUGCUGCAAUGUUCUGAUGAAAUGCUCCUCUACAGUCGAGGCUCCCAGAAGGCAGAGAGCAUAUUCAUUAACUCAUUCUGCUCAACACUUAGCUCAUGUCCAUGGAGAGAUGUUGAAUAUGAGCUCCUAUUAAAAAGAGGGAAUACAAUCAAUCAUUUGAGAAUGUCCAAAAAGAACUUUUCCUUUCCAUCGAGCCUUACAAAUUAUUCUAAGAUUGUUUCUGUAAAUACCAUGUAAUUGGGAGAGAUACACAGGGAGCGUCAAUUGUGUCUGUAAUGUUUUACUGCUUAUGAUAAAAAGAUCUGAAACUAAUGUGACAAAAUACUAAGAUUUCACAGAAUUCAGUGUUGAGUGUCCUCUAAGUUAUUAUCUUUAUUCUUCAAAUAUUUCAUAAGGAAAAAGAUGGUGGGAACUUACAAUAUUUAUUAUUUUUUUGGAGAAUGGCUGGAUAAUAUACAUUGAAAUCUGCUAAGAAUUUACCAGAAGGAAGGAAAGAGAAACACACACACACACACACACACACACAGAGAGAGAGACAGAGAGAGAGAGAGAGGAAAAAAAAAUAUAUCCUUGGAAUGCCAAGCCCAAAGAUGCAAGUCUAUCUGCCGAUUUAUAAAAGCAAAUAAAGAGAAACCAUCUAA
RNAcentral lists this long non-coding RNA (1215 nucleotides) under Homo sapiens (human). RNAcentral's name for it is "HSALNT0192105". The record is from RNAcentral. Lineage: Eukaryota; Metazoa; Chordata; Mammalia; Primates; Hominidae.